GACUGGAUUUGACAGCGGGUCGGAGUGGUAUGUAAGCACGCAGUGCGCCUGAAAGUGGGCACUUAAAUCUCGGCUUUCAUCAAUUUAACUGGCGAAAACAACUUUGCUCUCGCUGCUUAAUCGAAGUACAGUAGAUUAGCUUUAUUCCGGCACAAGGUGCUGGAACGAGACAUCACCCAAGAGCUACAUGCUCCGGAGCGUCUUGAUCAGGUGGUGCGGAUAAACCGGAGAUAGUUGCCGGCGGCCUCGCGCCGACAGCGAAACUUCUUAGAGGAUAAGGUGUAGGUUGGUAGCAUCGGUCUUGCCUGCACUCGAAAACCGAAGCGAUGAUAAGCGUGUAGAAAGCCUAUUGCUUCCUCGUUUGGACGAGGGUUCGAACCCCUCCUGGUCCACU
RNAcentral lists this transfer-messenger RNA (394 nucleotides) under uncultured Alloprevotella sp. It matches the Rfam family "transfer-messenger RNA". Rfam says of the family: Bacterial tmRNA, also known as 10Sa RNA or SsrA, is named for its dual tRNA and mRNA-like properties. The record is from RNAcentral. Lineage: Bacteria; Pseudomonadati; Bacteroidota; Bacteroidia; Bacteroidales; Prevotellaceae.